GUGCCAGCAGCCGCGGUAAUACAGAGGGCGCGAGCGUUGUCCGGAAUCACUGGGCGUAAAGGGCGCGUAGGUGGCCACCAUAAGGCCGCGGUGAAAGUUUGGGGCUCAACCCCAGAUCGGCCGCGGCGACUGUGGGGCUGGGGCACUGUAGAGGCAGAUGGAAUUCCGGGUGUAGCGGUGGAAUGCGUAGAGAUCCGGAAGAACACCAGUGGCGAAGGCGGUCUGCUGGGCAGUGGGAGCUUCGGCUCUCUUUAGCCGACACUGAGGCGCGACAGCGUGGGGAGCAAACAGGAUUAGAUACCCUGGUAGUCC
RNAcentral lists this ribosomal RNA (312 nucleotides) under uncultured bacterium. RNAcentral describes it as "bacterial SSU rRNA". It matches the Rfam family "Bacterial small subunit ribosomal RNA", at positions 505 to 796 of the family's 1533-position model. The record is from RNAcentral.